RNAcentral lists this long non-coding RNA (353 nucleotides) under Jaculus jaculus (lesser Egyptian jerboa). RNAcentral describes it as "HOXA transcript at the distal tip, conserved region 3 (ENSJJAG00000009297.1)". It matches the Rfam family "HOXA transcript at the distal tip, conserved region 3". Lineage: Eukaryota; Metazoa; Chordata; Mammalia; Rodentia; Dipodidae. The record is from RNAcentral.
UUAUGGGGUGGCGUUUACUCUUCUUCUCGGGCCCAGCCACAGCCUUUCCCUUAGCUGAUUUUUUGAUCCUCUACUGUUUUCCAGCCAGACUCGGAAAAAACGAAAACACAGCUUAGGAAGCCCCCACCAGCUACCGCCUGUGCCAGCCCACCUCUGGCUGUGGCGAGGCAGCUGAGGCACACCAUGGUGGCCAAGGCCAGCUCCUUUUUCUUCCUUUCCUCCCCCAUUUCACUGGAACCGGGAACCCUGUGAGCAGAGAAAGGGCCUGCAAGACUGCUAAAUGCGACUGGGUCCUUCCACUCCAAAAAUGGUGAGACAAGAUUUCAUCUUGUCCACAGAGGAGCAACCUACAG